This 530-nucleotide ribosomal RNA is filed under the name uncultured fungus. RNAcentral's name for it is "eukaryotic LSU rRNA". The stretch from base 238 to 391 matches the Rfam family "5.8S ribosomal RNA". Lineage: Eukaryota; Fungi. The record is from RNAcentral.
UCCGUAGGUGAACCUGCGGAAGGAUCAUUUAUGAGUUUGAACAGGACUUGAUGCUGGCUAUAUGCAUGUGCUCAGUCCUACUCAAUCCAUUAUACACCUGUGCACUUUCAAAGUUGUAGUCCUCCGUUAUGGGAGCCGUACCUUGUCAUAAGGUACUGGGACUAUAUGCUUUGCCCUUAUUACAAACUUUAUUAUUGUCUUGUAGAAUGUUAAUAGCCUAAGGGCUUAACUUAAUACAACUUUCAACAACGGAUCUCUUGGCUCUCGCAUCGAUGAAGAACGCAGCGAAAUGCGAUAAGUAAUGUGAAUUGCAGAAUUCAGUGAAUCAUCGAAUCUUUGAACGCACAUUGCGCCCCUUGGUAUUCCGAGGGGCAUGCCUGUUCGAGCGUCAUUACACCACUCAAGCCUCGCUUGGUAUUGGGCGCCGCGCUUCGGCGCGCGCCUCAAUGUAUCCGGCUGAGCCAUCCGUCUCUAAGCGUUGUGGCACUUAUGGUUUCCGCUUCGGGGGAGGUUCGGGGGGAGGGGGUCUC